AUUGAACGCUGGCGGCAGGCCUAACACAUGCAAGUCGAACGCGUGGCGGACGGGUGAGUAAUGCUUGGGAAUCUAGCUUAUGGAGGGGGAUAACUACGGGAAACUGUAGCUAAUACCGCGUACCAUAGGAUGAGCCCAAGUGGGACUAGGUAGUUGGUGAGGUAACGGCUCACCAAGCCGACGAUCUCUAGCUGGUCUGAGAGGAUGACAAUCCAAACUGGAACUGAGACACGGCCGAGACUCCUACGGAAGGCAGCAGUGGGGAAUAUUGCGCAAUGUGGGCAACCCUGACGCAGCCAUGCCGCGUGAAUGAAGAAGGCCUUCGGAUUUUAAAGUUCUGUCAGCGGGGAGGCGUUACCCGCAGAAGAAGCACCGGCUAACUCCGUGCCAGCAGCCGCGAUAAUAC
Molecule: ribosomal RNA, 406 nt
Filed under: uncultured bacterium
Lineage: Bacteria
Description: partial 16S ribosomal RNA
Rfam family: Bacterial small subunit ribosomal RNA
Source: RNAcentral